GGAUGCCCUGGCAGUCAGAGGCGAUGAAGGGCGUGCUAAUCUGCGAUAAGCGCCGGUAAGGUGAUAUGAACCGUUAUAACCGGCGAUACCCGAAUGGGGAAACCCAGUGUGACUCGUCACACUAUCAUUAACUGAAUCCAUAGGUUAAUGAGGCGAACCGGGGGAACUGAAACAUCUAAGUACCCCGAGGAAAAGAAAUCAACCGAGAUUCCCCCAGUAGCGGCGAGCGAACGGGGAGGAGCCCAGAGCCUGAAUCAGCAUGUGUGUUAGUGGAAGCGUCUGGAAAGGCGCGCGAUACAGGGUGACAGCCCCGUACACAAAAGCGCAUGUGCUGUGAGCUCGAUGAGUAGGGCGGGACACGUGGUAUCCUGUCUGAAUAUGGGGGGACCAUCCUCCAAGGCUAAAUACUCCUGACUGACCGAUAGUGAACCAGUACCGUGAGGGAAAGGCGAAAAGAACCCCGGCGAGGGGAGUGAAAAAGAACCUGAAACCGUGUACGUACAAGCAGUGGGAGCCCCACCACCAAAGCAUUUGCUGUACCGCGUUGACGGAGCGAAGCGACGUCAAACCGAUAAAACAGCAGUGUAAAGUGAGCCGCAGGGCGCUUUGCGCGACAGCGCAAAGGCAGGCGGUUUCGCGUAGCGAAAGCGAAUGCUUUGGGGUGGGGUGACUGCGUACCUUUUGUAUAAUGGGUCAGCGACUUAUAUUCUGUAGCAAGGUUAACCGAAUAGGGGAGCCGGAGGGAAACCGAGUCUUAAUUGGGCGUUAAGUUGCAGGGUAUAGACCCGAAACCCGGUGAUCUAGCCAUGGGCAGGUUGAAGGUUGGGUAACACUAACUGGAGGACCGAACCGACUAAUGUUGAAAAAUUAGCGGAUGACCUGUGGCUGGGGGUGAAAGGCCAAUCAAACCGGGAGAUAGCUGGUUCUCCCCGAAAGCUAUUUAGGUAGCGCCUCGUGAAUUCAUCUCCGGGGGUAGAGCACUGUUUCGGCUAGGGGGCCAUCCCGGCUUACCAACCCGAUGCAAACUGCGAAUACCGGAGAAUGUUAUCACGGGAGACACACGGCGGGUGCUAACGUCCGUC
Molecule: ribosomal RNA, 1082 nt
Filed under: Salmonella enterica subsp. enterica serovar Enteritidis
Lineage: Bacteria; Pseudomonadati; Pseudomonadota; Gammaproteobacteria; Enterobacterales; Enterobacteriaceae
Description: partial 23S ribosomal RNA
Rfam family: Bacterial large subunit ribosomal RNA
Source: RNAcentral